This 378-nucleotide ribosomal RNA is filed under the name uncultured organism. RNAcentral describes it as "partial 16S ribosomal RNA". It matches the Rfam family "Bacterial small subunit ribosomal RNA", at positions 527 to 896 of the family's 1533-position model. The record is from RNAcentral.
GUAGGUGGCAAGCGUUGUCCGGAAUUAUUGGGCGUAAAGCGCGCGCAGGCGGUUCUUUAAGUCUGAUGUGAAAGCCCACGGCUCAACCGUGGAGGGUCAUUGGAAACUGGAGAACUUGAGUACAGAAGAGGAAAGCGGAAUUCCACGUGUAGCGGUGAGAUGCGUAGAGAUGUGGAGGAACACCAGUGGCGAAGGCGGCUUUCUGGUCUGUAACUGACGCUGAGGCGCGAAAGCGUGGGGGGAGCAAACAGGAUUAGAUACCCUGGUAGUCCACGCCGUAAACGAUGAGUGCUAAGUGUUAGGGGGUUUCCGCCCCCCCCUUAGUGCUGCAGCUAACGCAUUAAGCACUCCCGCCUGGGGAGUACGGCCGCAAGGCUG